AAUGGGUUUAGUCUUUAACUUUCUUUCUUUUGUAUUUCUUUUUUUCUCUUUUAAUCUUUAAACACACUGUAUUGAAUAACAGUUUGCAGUGUGAGACAAACUUGAGAGGAAGUAGAAAAGGGAAACCAACCAGAAGACCAGGUGUAUAUACCAGUGAAUGGGCUCCUACAAUUGCAAAUGGCUUACCUAUCCUUGAAGAACAGAAGCUCCUUUCCUAGCAUUGUUACUGCAUCAAAGGAUGAGCUGGAGUCACACACAUCAGGGAUGGAUGGUUUGCGAGGAGGUAGGUGGGGAACAGUGGGUUUUCCCAGGUAUGGUUUCCGAGGUCCUAGGAUUCAAAAUCUCUUGGUCAAAAAUCAUACCAGGAGUUUAGAGUUUGCACACCACUGCUCUAGAGAUGUUCACCACAUUCACUCUGUGCAUGACAUCACAAAGAGAUGGCUGUCAGUGACACAUAGACCUUUGUUGGAAUCUUGGAUUUCCUAGUUGUCAAGUUUUGUGAUUUGAGACAAAUACAUUAACUAUUUAGAGUCUCAGCUUCCUCUCGGGUAAAAAUAGGAACGGUAAUUACAGGAUUUACUUCCAAAGAGUGUUACAAGAAUUAAGUAACUUUUGUAAAGCUUGGCGCACAGUAAAUGUUUAAAGAAUAUUCUUUUAUUGUCAUUAACAACUUCCUUGGUAGCUACAGAUUCUCUGAAUUAGAAGUAUACUGUGAUUAAAAUUUGUUAUUUCUUUGUAAUUAAGUUACUUUUAUCAUGAAAAUUAGAACUUUCUUGCAUACUUUUUAUUUUUUCCCUGUACUCCUUGACAUCCUGCACUCUGCUCAACGCUUCUUGAGUCACUGAGGACAGGCUGAGUGGAGAUCAAGAUAUCUCCUGGUGGAUCUACUCGUGAAACUGGGACUCAUUCCUUGGGGGAAUUGUUGGUGUUUGCAUCUCCCACUGCAUCCCUGCCAACUAUAGAAGAAUGAGCUGGGGCUGCCUUAAUCAUUGUCUUUGGAAGACCCUACUCCUUGAUGAAGCUUGAGGCAGCCCAAGGAAAACUGGAUAUAGAUUUUCUAAGAGUCCUUUCUUACCCUUCGAAAGAAUGUUAACACUUCAGGUUCACCUGGGAAGAGACGAUAAUUUGCCACAUCGGGAACUCCACAGCGAGGCUUCUUGAUCACGUCCAUCGUGCUUUGGUCCAGCUUCCCAGUGAGCGGGAGGCCGAAGAAUGUUUGCAGCUCCUUAAUCUUCUUUACCAUGGAAUUGCCUCCUCUUGAAACCAUUUCGCCAACCUGGUGCCCUCCUUUCUUUGUGUAAUACUUGUCAAGAUAUGCCUGAAAUGGAGAGGCAGGCGGACAGAAGUGGAUUGGAGGAGUCAUUCCUGUCUGUGCAAGUUGACGCUGUGUUACUGCAAUGCUUAUAGUGGUGUUCAAAUUGUGCCCCUCAGAGUCUGAGCUCUGUAUAUCAGGUUUUCCAUGUCAGGAGGAGAAAGAGGGAACUGGGCAAAGAUUCACAAACCUGUGCGAGGUGGAAGUUGUUCCUCCAGGUCCUGGGGGUGGCUGCAAAGAGGGUGGGGGCUGCAGAGGAAAACUUCAAAGCUGUGAGAAGGAGGACAGCAAGGCCAGACGCCGGGAGCACCUUCAUCUCCUCGUGGUAGCUGGUCUCCUACAUUUUCCUGCAUGGAAAAGAGAGUGGUGGAAUUGGAACCAGUCUGUGGGGUCUAGCAGGUACUCAAGAAGAUCACAUGACUCAGGCAGACAUCGUGUCUGUGAUGUACUGAGAAAUGCAUAAAACGUGUGUCUGAAGCAAACAAUAAACAAACAAAACAUCAAAAACACAGUUCUCUUAGAGGUA
Cavia porcellus (domestic guinea pig) is the source of this 1838-nucleotide long non-coding RNA. RefSeq lists it as uncharacterized. Lineage: Eukaryota; Metazoa; Chordata; Mammalia; Rodentia; Caviidae. The record is from RefSeq and is a predicted model, not a curated record. The transcript has 8 exons.